AGCAUGUGCGCGAGUCAUUGGGAAUGUUUAAACCUAAAGGCGUAAUGAAAGUGAAGGUUCUCCUCGCGAGAACCGAGGGAAGACGGGCGGUUUUCACCGUUAAAAGUGGCCGCUCCGCACUCCCGGGGCGUCUCGUUCUCAUCGCGAGAAGAGGCGCACCAAGAGCGUACACGCUGGGACCCGAAAGAUGGUGAACUAUGCCUGGUCAGGACGAAGUCAGGGGAAACCCUGAUGGAGGUCCGUAGCGAUUCUGACGUGCAAAUCGAUCGUCGGAACUGGGUAUAGGGGCGAAAGACUAAUCGAACCAUCUAGUAGCUGGUUCCCUCCGAAGUUUCCCUCAGGAUAGCUGGCGCUCGUAGCGUACGAGUCUCAUCCGGUAAAGCGAAUGAUUAGAGGCAUUGGGGUCGAAACGACCUCAACCUAUUCUCAAACUUUAAAUGGGUGAGAUCUCCGGCUUGCUCGAACACACACUAAAAUUAGUUGAAGCCGCGAGACACACGGAUCAGAGUGCCAAGUGGGCCAUUUUUGGUAAGCAGAACUGGCGCUGUGGGAUGAACCAAACGUCGAGUUAAAGCGCCUAAAUCGACGCUUAUGGGAUACCAUGAAAGGCGUUGGUAACUUAAGACAGCAGGACGGUGGCCAUGGAAGUCGGAAUCCGCCAAGGAGUGUGUAACAACUCACCUGCCGAAGUUACUAGCCCUGAAAAUGGAUGGCGCUGAAGCGUCGUGCUUAUACUCGACCGUCAGAGGCAUGUGCGAUCGGCGCCUUUAACGAGGCGCGGGUCACGAAGCCCUGACGAGUAGGAGGGUCGCGACGGUGAGCGCAGAAGGGCUGGCCGUGAGGCCGUCUGGAGCCGCCGUCGGUGCARAUCUUGGUGGUAGUAGCAAAUACUCCAGCGAAGGCCUGGAGGACUGACGUGGAGAAGGGUUUCGUGUGAACAGCCGUUGCACACGAGUCAGUCGAUCCUAAGCCCUAG
RNAcentral lists this ribosomal RNA (976 nucleotides) under Trigonopterus mahawuensis. Its description in RNAcentral is "partial large subunit ribosomal RNA". The record is from RNAcentral. Lineage: Eukaryota; Metazoa; Arthropoda; Insecta; Coleoptera; Curculionidae.